Molecule: ribosomal RNA, 492 nt
Filed under: uncultured bacterium
Lineage: Bacteria
Description: partial 16S ribosomal RNA
Rfam family: Bacterial small subunit ribosomal RNA
Source: RNAcentral
AGUGAACGCUGGCGGUAGGCCUAACACAUGCAAGUCGAACGGCAGCACAGUAAGAGCUUGCUCUUACGGGUGGCGAGUGGCGGACGGGUGAGGAAUACAUCGUAAUCUACUUUUUCGUGGGGGAUAACGUAGGGAAACUUACUCUAAUACCGCAUACGCCCUACGGUUGAAAGCAGGGGAUCUUCGGACCUUGCGCGAUUGAAUGAGCCGAUGUCGGAUUAGCUAGUUGGCGGGGUAAAGGCCUACCAAGGCGACGAUCCGUAGCUGGUGUGAGAGGAUGAUAGGCCACACUGGAAGUGAGACACGGUCCAGACUCCUAAGGGAGGCAGCAGUGGGGAAUAUUGGACAAUGGGCGCAAGCCUGAUACAGCCAUACCGCGUGUGUGAAAAAGGCCUUCGGGUUGUAAAGCCCUUUUGUUGGGAAAGAAAAGCAGCCGGUUAAUACCCCGCUGUUCUGACGGUACCCAAAGAAUAAGCACCGGCUAACUACGUG